RNAcentral lists this unclassified non-coding RNA (341 nucleotides) under Spermacoce capitata. Its description in RNAcentral is "partial external transcribed spacer". The record is from RNAcentral. Lineage: Eukaryota; Viridiplantae; Streptophyta; Magnoliopsida; Gentianales; Rubiaceae.
ACGGAACCGAAGUCGUUCGGAAUAGGCYUUGAAGCCUUUUAGCGGAAAAUAGGAGCCGGUGACUCCGUGCCCUCAUCGUUUCUGCAUCCCAACGCCCGAGAGAGAAUUCAUGGGCCAUGAAAUCCACCAAUCGUGCGGUACGUGGGACUCGAAUCUCGUUUCUAGUUUCACCCGCCRYWGCAUCGAGAAAUGGGCAGCGUUAAGCGAACGACUAGAGAUUGAUUGACGAAUACCAUCGAGAAGGUACGCAACACAGGAAACCAACCGACGGCCAAUGUAAAUUGUGCCAACAAUGAAGAGGGAAGCAAGAUAGGUCGUCCAGGCACUAGGCAGGGAUCCAA